Molecule: ribosomal RNA, 467 nt
Filed under: uncultured bacterium
Lineage: Bacteria
Description: partial 16S ribosomal RNA
Rfam family: Bacterial small subunit ribosomal RNA
Source: RNAcentral
ACGAACGCUGGCGGCGUGCUUAACACAUGCAAGUCGAACGGUGAAGCUCCAGCUUGCUGGAGUGGAUCAGUGGCGAACGGGUGAGUAACACGUGAGCAACCUGCCCCUGACUCUGGAAUAAGCGCUGGAAACGGCGUCUAAUACUGGAUACGAGAAGGGUCCGCAUGGGCACCUUCUGGAAAGUUUUUCGGUUGGGGAUGGGCUCGCGGCCUAUCAGCUUGUUGGUGAGGUAAUGGCUCACCAAGGCGACGACGGGUAGCCGGCCUGAGAGGGCGACCGGCCACACUGGGACUGAGACACGGCCCAGACUCCUACGGGAGGCAGCAGUGGGGAAUAUUGCACAAUGGGCGAAAGCCUGAUGCAGCGACGCCGCGUGAGGGAUGACGGCCUUCGGGUUGUAAACCUCUUUCAGCAGGGAAGAAGCGAAAGUGACGGUACCUGCAGAAGAAGCACCGGCUAACUACGUG